This 251-nucleotide long non-coding RNA is filed under the name Vigna radiata. Its description in RNAcentral is "long non-coding RNA (VRAD_LNC011182)". Lineage: Eukaryota; Viridiplantae; Streptophyta; Magnoliopsida; Fabales; Fabaceae. The record is from RNAcentral.
GACAAUGGUCUACCUAUCUCAAAGGUGUUGCUCAUAUCUUCUUGUUCCUCCAAUUCUUCAUCAGUCUCCUCAGGUGCAACAGUGGGGACAUAGGAGGGUGGGAAGGUAGAUGGCGCAGUAGUAAGCUCAUGACUCUGCUCCCCAUCUCCUAUGUGAAUGGCACUGACAUCAUCAAGAAUCUGAACAGUCUGAAAUGAUGAUCCCUCUGAAACUUGAGACUGUUCCUCAAUGAGCUAAGUGACCAUCUGCCC